Molecule: long non-coding RNA, 1280 nt
Organism: Beta vulgaris subsp. vulgaris (sugar beet)
Lineage: Eukaryota; Viridiplantae; Streptophyta; Magnoliopsida; Caryophyllales; Amaranthaceae
Exons: 2
Source: RefSeq, a predicted model, not a curated record
UUGAAUGAAAUAAUAACCUCAAACCCAAAAAUCUUUCUCUCACCCGAGAAAACCCAACCCAUCACUCCUUCUCUCUCCAUGUGAAGACCCAAACCCCAAAACCCAAUUUUCUCUCUCUCCUUGUUGUUCUUAUCGGUGUCCCCAACCCGCCGGACCUGCUGUCGCUUUAUCAGUUCUUUCUCUCACUGGAACUUUCUUUAUCCUCUGUCGUGCAACCUUGUGCGGUCACCGUAGGCACAACUCUACUUCUUCCCUCUUCGAUCUCCCUCCCCAGAUUCGUUCUGGCUUGCUGCUGCAUCGAGAUCAUGUGAACGUCGCACCGCCUGCGGGAACCGCAUGCUGCUGCUUGCAUCUCGCCAAAUUACGUUACCCCUGCCUUGUUGCGUGGUUCCACGCUGCUCUUGUGAGCAGAUCAGCAGAGGUGAAUGGUGGUGGAAUGUUCGAUCUAGUGUUGGUGGUCGAUGAUUAUUUUUAAUGAUUUAUUAAGGACUGUAUUGCUUUUUCAGGUAACUUUUAUGUUCAGUAAUAUAAUUUACUUAUGCUCAUGUGUGUGUGAAUCUGAAUGUUAUAUUUUCGUAUAUAAGUUCGCACUAUGGCUAUAGUUAUAAUUGUGUUGUUGAAAUGUCAUUGAUUAUAUGAAUACGCAAUUUUUUUACUGGCUUAGUUUAUGAACUGAAAAUAGAAAGUUGGCAAGGUAUGGGUGGAGGUGAUAAAAGUCAAGGUCAAGGUCAAGCUCCUAAGUCAACUGAUGAAAAGGAACUUAUGUGUCUAGUUCAGGGAGUACUUGGAUUCAAGCUUAAUUGAAACUCCUCAUUUGUGACAAUGCGUGAGUGGGAGAAUAAUUCAAUCAAUGAAGCAUGACUUGGCACCAUUUCUAGAGUCUUAGUUAAUUUUAAUUCUAAUUAAGUCUUUUAGAUCAGCAAAUAAGUAGUCCGAAAAUAUCUUGUUGAAUUUUCGACCAGCUUAGGGUAUUUUUAGUGUCCUUGUGUUCCAAGUAUGCAAGUUGGCCUUGAGUUGUAUUAAUUUCCUUAAGUAUAUUAGACGUCUAAGGGGGAAUUAGGGCUGAUUUGGAGUUCCUUUGAGUACUCCUUUAUCCUCUCCAAGAAUCAAGGGAUUAUGAUGCAAGGUGCCAGGUUGUAUUUGCUUAAAUACUUGGCUGAAAUUUUCGGUUAUUGUGGUGCUUGGAGGACAAGUUUAUUCUUUUUGUUGUUUCAUUAUUUUGAUAAUGACAAAUAAUUAAACUUUAUUUGAUUUUAGUUUAUGUUAUUCGUAUGUUUCUA